GUCUAUGGCCAUACCACCCUGAAUGUGCCCAAUCUUGUCUGAUCUCGGAAGUGAAGAAGCGAAGCAGGGUUUGGCCCAGUUAGUACUUGGAUGGGGGAAGCAUUUGGAAACAAAUCUUUACAGGUA
Molecule: ribosomal RNA, 126 nt
Filed under: Microcebus murinus (gray mouse lemur)
Lineage: Eukaryota; Metazoa; Chordata; Mammalia; Primates; Cheirogaleidae
Source: RNAcentral